This is a long non-coding RNA of Lotus japonicus, 1205 nucleotides long. RefSeq lists it as uncharacterized. The transcript is spliced from 2 exons. NCBI's taxonomy places the organism in Eukaryota, Viridiplantae, Streptophyta, Magnoliopsida, Fabales, Fabaceae. The record is from RefSeq and is a predicted model, not a curated record.
CCACUUAUCCUUUCAUUCAAAAUGGUACUUGAUGGAUUAAAAUUUCCCAAGUCCUGGAUUCAAAUCCUACUGGUACCUAGAUACCAAAAAAAAAAAAUUUUCUCUUUUAUUCAAAUUUUCGGAUCAAUUUCUCUCUCAUGCGGGUCCCACUUCACCAAUCAGAUUCCCCUUUUCUCUCACUCUCUUCUCCCACUCUCCCUCACGCGUUCCCCCACUCACGCUCUCCCUCAACCUCUCGACUCUUUCUCUCUUCCUCUCCAAACCCAUUUUCUUCUUCUUCUUCUUCUGAUACAGCAACAAGAGUUAUCACCAUCACCAUGUUUCCCUUCUCCCUCUCACGCCAGCCACCACCGCGCCCUCCUCACGCGAGCCCGCAGCCAACCACCGCCACCACCGCGAGCCAAAACGCCACCACCACGCGUUUUUCUCCUCUGGUUCCUCAACCACUACCAGCACCAGUAUCACCGUGAGUCCCUCUCCUCCAUGGCUGCAACCACCACGAGCUCCAGCCACCACAGACGUGAAAAAUAAGGAAAAAAAGAAACCCUAAAACCGCCACCUUUCAACUCCGAUCUCCGGCGAACCACUGAGUUUUUGGAGAAACCAACCACACCCUGGAACUCCCCUCGACGUGCGCUGCAAAACCCCUAAAGAAAUUUUGGAUUCCGACCACCUUCGCCGGGAACCGCCGCCAGCCACCGUGAACCACCGUCUUCUCCGGCCAAACUUCGCCGGAGAUUUCACUGAACUCAAAACCAGGAAGCUCUCCUCCUCCUCUUGCUGAAUUGAUUAUCAAUUUUGGUGUUGUUCAACAAUGAUGGUCCUCAGAGGAAGACAGAAGCUGCUGUUACAGAAGAUGAAGAAGCAAAUUCAGAACCUUAGCCAUGAGGCUUAAGGUAGAAAACAAAAUAUUUUUCUGUUUUGGGUAUCGUUUUAAUUCUUGUAGGGGCUGAAAAUGUUUUUGAAAAUGUAAGGGCAUUGGAGAUGGUUAAUCUCUAGUUAGUUCUGUUGUUUAUGUAUUGAUUACCUCUGGAUGAGCAUGGGUUCGAUAUUAGAUUAGGAGAAGUUAUGCUGUUGUUGUCCUGUGAUUAUAGUAGCUGCUGUUCUGUCAAAUACGUAGGUUUAAUGACCGAAUUUGAAGAAGUAGUCUUCAUAAGUAUUGUAGCAUUUUCUGUUAGCAAAAUUUUGCCACUGGUUUCAUGUAA